Molecule: ribosomal RNA, 482 nt
Filed under: uncultured bacterium
Lineage: Bacteria
Description: bacterial SSU rRNA
Rfam family: Bacterial small subunit ribosomal RNA
Source: RNAcentral
AUUGAACGCUGGCGGCAUGCCUUACACAUGCAAGUCGAACGGUAACGGGCCUUCGGGUGCCGACGAGUGGCGAACGGGUGAGUAAUGUAUCGGAACGUACCUUUCAGUGGGGGAUAACGUAGCGAAAGUUACGCUAAUACCGCAUACGAUCUACGGAUGAAAGCGGGGGAUCGCAAGACCUCGCGCGAAUGGAGCGGCCGAUGUCAGAUUAGGUAGUUGGUGGGGUAAAGGCUCACCAAGCCAACGAUCUGUAGCUGGUCUGAGAGGACGACCAGCCACACUGGAACUGAGACACGGUCCAGACUCCUACGGGAGGCAGCAGUGGGGAAUUUUGGACAAUGGGCGCAAGCCUGAUCCAGCCAUUCCGCGUGCAGGAUGAAGGCCUUCGGGUUGUAAACUGCUUUUGUACGGAACGAAACGGUCUGCCCUAAUACGGCGGGCUAAUGACGGUACCGUAAGAAUAAGCACCGGCUAACUACGUG